UACGUAGGGUCCGAGCGUUGUCCGGAAUUAUUGGGCGUAAAGCGUGCGCAGGCGGUUUGCUAAGACAGGUGUGAAAUCCCCGGGCUUAACCUGGGAACUGCGCUUGUAACUGGCAAGCUAGAGUGUGGCAGAGGGGGGUGGAAUUCCACGUGUAGCAGUGAAAUGCGUAGAGAUGUGGAGGAACACCGAUGGCGAAGGCGGCCCCCUGGGCUAACACUGACGCUCAUGCACGAAAGCGUGGGGAGCAAACAGG
RNAcentral lists this ribosomal RNA (253 nucleotides) under uncultured bacterium. RNAcentral describes it as "partial 16S ribosomal RNA". It matches the Rfam family "Bacterial small subunit ribosomal RNA", at positions 524 to 776 of the family's 1533-position model. The record is from RNAcentral.